AUUUUGCGUUAAGGAUAGUAGUGAAAAGCCCACAGCGUAGCGAGGACUUGUAACGUAUAGCCUGCCCGUAG
Molecule: small RNA, 71 nt
Filed under: Cellulophaga sp. RHA19
Lineage: Bacteria; Pseudomonadati; Bacteroidota; Flavobacteriia; Flavobacteriales; Flavobacteriaceae
Description: Flavo-1 RNA
Source: RNAcentral